GAGAUUGGAAUUGGAGAAGAAAGGAUGGGCUACAGUAGACAGUUUUUAAGGAAAAUUUUAUAUUUCUUGAGGAAAUGUUGAAUGGAGGAUGGUGCUCUUUAUGCAAUCCCUCCAUCUCAACUUGUUUAUAUAAUGGGCCCAAAAAAUUGGCUCCCACAAGCUCGUAUUA
This is a non-coding RNA of Cucurbita pepo subsp. pepo (vegetable marrow), 169 nucleotides long. The record is from RefSeq and is a predicted model, not a curated record. NCBI's taxonomy places the organism in Eukaryota, Viridiplantae, Streptophyta, Magnoliopsida, Cucurbitales, Cucurbitaceae.